CGGGAGGGGAGUGAAAUAGUUCCUGAAACUGUGUGCCUACAAUCCGUCAGAGCACCUCUUGUGUGUGAUGGCGUGCCUUUUGAAGAAUGAGCCUGCGAGUCAGCGGCAUGUCGCGAGGUUAACCCGUGGUAGGGGUAGUCGUAGCGAAAGCGAAUGCUAAUUGUGUGUUUUUUAGUGGCAUGUCCUGGACCCGAAGCGGGGUGAUCUACCCAUGGCCAGUGUGAAGCAGCUGUAAGAGGUUGUGGAGGCGCGAACCCACGUAGGUUGAAAACUGCGGGGAUGAGCUGUGGGUAGGGGUGAAAGGCCAAUCAAACUCCGUGAUAGCUGGUUCUCCCCGAAAUGCAUUUAGGUGCAGCGUCGCGUUAGUGUGCCGGAGGUAGAGCUACUGGUUGGUUGAGCGGGACUAUCAUCUUAGCAAUGUCAGCCAAACUCCGAAUGCCGGUUUACAUGGUGCGCGGCAGUGAGACUGUGGGGGAUAAGCUUCAUAGUCGAGAGGGAAACAGCCCAGACCGCCGGUUAAGGCCCCUAAGGGUGUGCUAAGUGGAAAAGGAUGUGUAAUCGCGAAGACAGCCAGGAGGUUGGCUUAGAAGCAGCCACCCUUGAAAGAGUGCGUAAUAGCUCACUGGUCGAGUGGUUGCGCGCCGACAAUGUAGUGGGGCUCAAGUACACCGCCGAAACCGCGGCAACAUGUUUUUGUUGGGUAGGGGAGCGUCGUGCAUGGGGUGAAGCGUGAUCGUAAGGGCGCGUGGACUGUGUGCGAGUGAGAAUGCAGGCAUGAGUAACGAAUGAUACGUGAGAAUCGUAUCCGCCGGAUGACUAAGGGUUCCUGGGUCAAGUUCGUCUUCCCAGGGUGAGUCGGGUCCUAAGGCGAGGCCGACAGGCGUAGUCGAUGGUUAACGGGUUGAUAUUCCCGUACCCGUAUACAUGCGACCCAGAGCGAGUCGGUGAUACUAACCACCCAGAGCUCCUGCCAUGGUCAUCUUUGAUGAUCGGGUGGGUGUGAUGCGUGGGGCCUGAUCCGUAGUAGUUCAGUGAUGGGGUGACACAGAGUGGUAGCCACGCC
This 1063-nucleotide ribosomal RNA is filed under the name Corynebacterium tuscaniense. RNAcentral's name for it is "partial 23S ribosomal RNA". It matches the Rfam family "Bacterial large subunit ribosomal RNA", at positions 527 to 1608 of the family's 2925-position model. Lineage: Bacteria; Bacillati; Actinomycetota; Actinomycetes; Mycobacteriales; Corynebacteriaceae. The record is from RNAcentral.